Molecule: ribosomal RNA, 411 nt
Filed under: Limisphaera sp.
Lineage: Bacteria; Pseudomonadati; Verrucomicrobiota; Verrucomicrobiia; Limisphaerales; Limisphaeraceae
Description: partial 23S ribosomal RNA
Rfam family: Bacterial large subunit ribosomal RNA
Source: RNAcentral
UUGGCACCUCGAUGUCGGCUCAUCGCAUCCUGGGGCUGGAGAAGGUCCCAAGGGUCCGGCUGUUCGCCGGUUAAAGCGGUACGCGAGCUGGGUUCAGAACGUCGUGAGACAGUUCGGUCCUUAUCCACUGUGGGCGCAGGAGGCUUGAGGGAUUCCUUCCCUAGUACGAGAGGACCGGGAAGGACGCACCUCUGGUGUGGCAGUUGUCCCGUCAGGGGCAGCGCUGCGUAGCCAUGUGCGGAAGAGAUAAGCGCUGAAAGCAUCUAAGCGCCAAGCUCCUCCCAAGAUGAGGCCUCCCGGACCGCAAGGUCCCUGAAGACCCCCGGAAGACUACCGGGUUGAUAGGCCAGACGUGUAAGCGGGGUAACCCGUUCAGCCGACUGGUCCUAAUCGGUCGUGCGGCUUGAUCGU